RNAcentral lists this ribosomal RNA (454 nucleotides) under uncultured organism. RNAcentral's name for it is "partial 16S ribosomal RNA". It matches the Rfam family "Bacterial small subunit ribosomal RNA", at positions 330 to 800 of the family's 1533-position model. The record is from RNAcentral.
CGUACACUCCUACGGGAGGCAGCAGUGGGGAAUAUUGGACAAUGGGCGCAAGCCUGAUCCAGCCAUGCCGCGUGAGUGAUGAAGGCCCUAGGGUUGUAAAGCUCUUUCACCGGUGAAGAUAAUGACGGUAACCGGAGAAGAAGCCCCGGCUAACUUCGUGCCAGCAGCCGCGGUAAUACGAAGGGGGCUAGCGUUGUUCGGAUUUACUGGGCGUAAAGCGCACGUAGGCGGACUAUUAAGUCAGGGGUGAAAUCCCGGGGCUCAACCCCGGAACUGCCUUUGAUACUGGUAGUCUUGAGUUCGAGGGAGGUGAGUGGAAUUCCGAGUGUAGAGGUGAAAUUCGUAGAUAUUCGGAGGAACACCAGUGGCGAAGGCGGCUCACUGGCUCGAUACUGACGCUGAGGUGCGAAAGCGUGGGGAGCAAACAGGAUUAGAAACCCCAGUAGUCCCAUGA